RNAcentral lists this ribosomal RNA (497 nucleotides) under uncultured bacterium. RNAcentral's name for it is "partial 16S ribosomal RNA". It matches the Rfam family "Bacterial small subunit ribosomal RNA", at positions 28 to 507 of the family's 1533-position model. The record is from RNAcentral.
GAUGAACGCUGGCGGCGUGCCUAAUACAUGCAAGUCGAGCGAACAGACGAGGAGCUUGCUCCUUUGACGUUAGCGGCGGACGGGUGAGUAACACGUGGAUAACCUACCUAUAAGACUGGGAUAACUUCGGGAAACCGGAGCUAAUACCGGAUAAUAUAUUGAACCGCAUGGUUCAAUAGUGAAAGACGGCUUUGCUGUCACUUAUAGAUGGAUCCGCGCCGCAUUAGCUAGUUGGUAAGGUAACGGCUUACCAAGGCAACGAUGCGUAGCCGACCUGAGAGGGUGAUCGGCCACACUGGAACUGAGACACGGUCCAGACUCCUACGGGAGGCAGCAGUAGGGAAUCUUCCGCAAUGGGCGAAAGCCUGACGGAGCAACGCCGCGUGAGUGAUGAAGGUCUUCGGAUCGUAAAACUCUGUUAUGAGGGAAGAACAAAUGUGUAAGUAACUAUGCACGUCUUGACGGUACCUGAUCAGAAAGCCACGGCUAACUACGUG